CCUCCUCCGGCCAAACCGAGCGCACCUUCGGCUUCCCCGUGUCCAGGCGCACCCCCGACGUCCAGGUCCUCGUCCAGGUUCGCUCCCAGUCAUCGAGUUCAUCUCCGACCUGCGAGCUCCGCCAUGGCCUUCAUCCCCGAACUUCGCCUCGUCUACUUCAAAGGGAGACGCGCCCAGUUCCAUACAACAAUCCAUCGUUAGCGCAGUGAUCCGACGCUCGACGGGCCUCGGCCCAGAUCUCCCCGACGAAGCCUUGCACCGCGCGUCCCGCAUCAUCUCAUCGCCGACACGGGCCAGGUUCUGGCCCAGUUCGCUCGCCGCACCAGUAGACAAGAUCCGGCCCAGUGCAGCAUUUGCUUCUUCCCGGAUAGGAUCGCGAAGUGGUGUUGUGAGAUACGAC
Long non-coding RNA from Lolium rigidum, 400 nucleotides. RefSeq lists it as uncharacterized. Lineage: Eukaryota; Viridiplantae; Streptophyta; Magnoliopsida; Poales; Poaceae. The transcript has 3 exons. The record is from RefSeq and is a predicted model, not a curated record.